CACGCAUGACACACUGCAAUCAAUAAGCGGAGGAAAAGAAACUAACUAGGAUUCCCUCAGUAACGGCGAGUGAAGCGGGAAGAGCUCAAAUUUGAAAUCUUCAAGGGUUUCCCUUGACGAAUUGUAGUUUAAAGAAGUGUUUUCUGUUAGAGAGGUGGUAAAAGUUCUUUGGAAUAGGACAUCAUAGAGGGUGAGAAUCCCGUAUUUGACCGUUACUUUCCAGCUGUGUGAUACACUUUCAAAGAGUCGGAUUGUUUGGGAAUGCAGUCCAAAAUGGGUGGCAAAUUUCAUCUAAAGCUAAAUAUUGGCGAGAGACCGAUAGCGAACAAGUACCGUGAGGGAAAGAUGAAAAGAACUUUGAAAAGAGAGUUAAACAGUACGUGAAAUUGUCAAAAGGGAAGCGUUUGACACCAGUGUUGUUUUUCCGAAAAUCAAUUAUGAAUGGCUUGAUUUUAAGUUUCAUGACCUUAAAAGCUUGUUUCUUAUUUUUCAUGUCUUUCGUAAUGCACUUUUCGGUUAACAGGUCAACAUCAAUUUCUUUUGUUGUAAAAGGGUAUGAGGAAGGUGGCUUUCUUUUCGGAGAAAGUGUUUAUAGCCUUGUACCUCUGCAAUCGGAGAGAUUGAGGUCUGCAGCGUAGAUCCUUCGGGGUUAGAUACAUUGGUGCUAAGCUAUAGUUCUUUAUAGACAACUUGUUGACUAUAAUCAAUCCUGUAACUUACUCGCUUAUGCUAUUUUACCUACGCUUAGGAUGUUGACUGAUAUGUAGUCGUA
This 772-nucleotide ribosomal RNA is filed under the name uncultured Neocallimastigales. RNAcentral describes it as "partial large subunit ribosomal RNA". The stretch from base 10 to 691 matches the Rfam family "Eukaryotic large subunit ribosomal RNA", at positions 24 to 664 of the family's 3401-position model. The record is from RNAcentral. Lineage: Eukaryota; Fungi; Neocallimastigomycota; Neocallimastigomycetes; Neocallimastigales.